Molecule: ribosomal RNA, 207 nt
Filed under: uncultured bacterium
Lineage: Bacteria
Description: partial 16S ribosomal RNA
Rfam family: Bacterial small subunit ribosomal RNA
Source: RNAcentral
CGCGUAGGCGGUUUUCUUAGUUAGGCGUGAAAUUCCUGGGCUCAACCUGGGGGCUGCGCUUAAUACAGGGAGACUAGAGUGUGAGAGAGGGUUGUGGAAUUCCCAGUGUAGAGGUGAAAUUCGUAGAUAUUGGGAAGAACACCGGUGGCGAAGGCGGCAACCUGGCUCAUUACUGACGCUGAGGCGCGAAAGCGUGGGGAGCAAACA